GCCCGUCUCGGGAUGGCACCUGGAGAGUUUCCAGUCCUCUACCAGUCUCGGCUACUACGGGAGGGAGAGUCAAGCAGAGGCCUGUCCAUUCCACUCCUAGCUUGGGCGGUGGCUAGUGAGUGGAAGGCAAUCUGCUACAGGU
This is a small nucleolar RNA of Tachyglossus aculeatus (Australian echidna), 142 nucleotides long. Lineage: Eukaryota; Metazoa; Chordata; Mammalia; Monotremata; Tachyglossidae. The record is from RefSeq and is a predicted model, not a curated record.